Molecule: ribosomal RNA, 497 nt
Filed under: uncultured bacterium
Lineage: Bacteria
Description: partial 16S ribosomal RNA
Rfam family: Bacterial small subunit ribosomal RNA
Source: RNAcentral
GAUGAACGCUGGCGGCGUGCCUAAUACAUGCAAGUCGAGCGAACGGACGAGAAGCUUGCUUCUCUGAUGUUAGCGGCGGACGGGUGAGUAACACGUGGAUAACCUACCUAUAAGACUGGGAUAACUUCGGGAAACCGGAGCUAAUACCGGAUGAUAUUUUGAACCGCAUGGUUCAAAAGUGAAAGACGGUCUUGCUGUCACUUAUAGAUGGAUCCGCGCUGCAUUAGCUAGUUGGUAAGGUAAUGGCUUACCAAGGCAACGAUGCAUAGCCGACCUGAGAGGGUGAUCGGCCACACUGGGACUGAGACACGGUCCAGACUCCUACGGGAGGCAGCAGUAGGGAAUCUUCCGCAAUGGGCGAAAGCCUGACGGAGCAACGCCGCGUGAGUGAUGAAGGUCUUCGGAUCGUAAAACUCUGUUAUUAGGGAAGAACAUAUGUGUAAGUAACUGUGCACAUCUUGACGGUACCUAAUCAGAAAGCCACGGCUAACUACGUG